This 492-nucleotide ribosomal RNA is filed under the name uncultured bacterium. Its description in RNAcentral is "partial 16S ribosomal RNA". It matches the Rfam family "Bacterial small subunit ribosomal RNA", at positions 29 to 507 of the family's 1533-position model. The record is from RNAcentral.
AGUGAACGCUGGCGGUAGGCCUAACACAUGCAAGUCGAACGGCAGCACAGUAAGAGCUUGCUCUUACGGGUGGCGAGUGGCGGACGGGUGAGGAAGACAUCGGAAUCUACUUUUUCGUGGGGGAUAACGUAGGGAAACUUACGCUAAUACCGCAUACGACCUACGGGUGAAAGCAGGGGAUCUUCGGACCUUGCGCGAUUGAAUGAGCCGAUGUCGGAUUAGCUAGUUGGCGGGGUAAAGGCCCACCAAGGCGACGAUCCGUAGCUGGUCUGAGAGGAUGAUCAGCCACACUGGAACUGAGACACGGUCCCGACUCCGACGGGAGGCAGCAGUGGGGAAUAUUGGACAAUGGGCGCAAGCCUGAUCCAGCCAUACCGCGUGGGUGAAGAAGGCCUUCGGGUUGUAAAGCCCUUUUGUUGGGAAAGAAAAGCAGCAGGUUAAUACCCCGCUGUUCUGACGGUACCCAAAGAGUAAGCACCGGCUAACUUCGUG